CCUCAACUGGUCUGAGAACUCCUGCUCUGCCUCCUUUUUACCCACAUUUUUGGUAACUCUGGGGCGAGGGUUGCCUAAUGGACUACUGCAAUACUGCCUAUGUGGGGGAGUUGUUUUAGGAGGAAUAUGACCUCCAGGGACUGGAAUUCACUGGAACAUUCAAUGUGCCAUCACCACAAGGAGGUGAAGGCCAUUUCUGGGUCAGAGAAGAGACAGGAAAACAAGGCUGUCUGCCAGUUUCAGAUGUCCUGACUUCUUGCCUGGAUGGAAACACGCUGAGUUGGAAUGAGAUAAUGCUGGGGUAUCUUUCCCCUGAAACCGGGAGGGAAAUGUGACUAGGUAUGCGGGGGUCAGACUCCCACCCCAGCGAUUCACCCAGAGCCACAGAGAGGCUUAGCCGACCUCUGCUCUCCCCUUCCUCAUCAGGGAGACAAAGUUCCCAGGGCAGCCCGAGCCAGAACUAGCUGUUUCAGUAGCUGCAAUGUGGCAUUCAGCUCCUCUAGAAGGCUGCUGGAACCAAGUCCACUGCUUGGUCCCUAGGAAGGGGUUCUGGAAUUAUCUGGCUUUUUUUUUUUUUUUUUUUAAUCUCCCCUGAAGCCCUUUGACAAAGCAAAAAGGAAAGUAGUCAACGCAGCAAAUGUCCAACAGCCUUCCAGACAGUCCGGAUCUAUCCAUCGCAGCCUGGGCCGGUUCAUUACACACUGUGAGGAGACCGGUCCCGGGUCCCUAAGCAGGUUGAUGCUGGCCCGUAGGCAGGAGUGUUCAUGAAGGACACAGAGCAUGAGGAGCUGAGCUGGACUGAGUACAUCAGUGUCCUGGAGACUGCCAGAGAAGACAAAUCCUUUCCUCACGACCACCGAGGCCACGCAUCGGGGGAAAUGCCUCUGAGGACCUCAAGGAUACACAUAAUUGGCCUGGACUUUCGGCAGCUAACUUGGGACCAUGAGAUGGCACUAUUGGGGAUGAGACGUGAACAGCUAAGAGCAACAAAGCAAAGAAUUAGCGAAGAAGAAGCAACGCAAAGAAGAGCCAGGAUUCUGCACGGCACGUCUCGGUCUGGACUCCCGACUCUAUGCUUCUCUUAUGGGAAUAAAUGAAUUGCUUGAUGCUGCUAGUAGUAGUUGGGCAUUCUGCCGUUCGUGACCAAAAGCCUUCCCAUUUGAUAGAAAACAGCCAGUUCACAUCAACCCAGCACCCCUGUCUCCUCCAUGGGUGCCUGCUCAACCCUCACACCGACUGCUGCAGGCUGCACCCCAGAAAAGCCCCAUUCUGACAAGCGUGGCCAUCAGUCUGCUCUGCAGGGGUGGCCCCCAGCAUGCCACGUAUGCCGCGUUGUCCUCUGCUAGGCUCUGGUGCAACCUUCAGAGCAAGAGGGCGUAUAAAUAAAAGGCCUUAUGUUUUAUAUGCUAGUCAAUAUUUAUUCAACCCCACCAGAGCAGUGGACUGGAAGGAACAGAGAGACUAUAAAAUGUCUUCUGUACUGAAGCUUGAAAUCGUGCUGGAGGAAAGGGGCUUCUCCGUGCUCUCACUGCAAAAUAGUCUUCCGCCCAGCAGAGCUUGGGAGCCCGUGGGAAGCAGAGCGGCUGGGGCAAUCUGGUGAAUGAGGACAGAGACAGCCCAGGGCUGCAGACACAUGGCAACAGCCAUACUCUCCUUGCAGCUCCAACCUGCCUCUUGAGUGGCUUAUCUCAAAUGCAGAAGGUCCUGUGUCCCCAGGGAUGGCUCUUCUCUCCUUGCUUAGAGGAUCUCACGGGAGAGCCCACACUUUUAAGGGCUGCAAUUGAGGGAUCUUUCUAAAGCCCUUUGGGGGUGUUUGUGUAUCUGAUGGACGGCACUCCACCCACCCACUCCCAACAUCUUGAGUCCCUGCUUAUCCUUGCUUUUCCCUGAUGCUGUGUUUUG
Molecule: long non-coding RNA, 1902 nt
Organism: Mustela putorius furo (domestic ferret)
Lineage: Eukaryota; Metazoa; Chordata; Mammalia; Carnivora; Mustelidae
Source: Ensembl